UUUUUUCAUUUUUUUCCUAGAUGCAUUUAUUCAAAAUGUUUUAUCACUUAAAUUGUGUGUAAAAAUUCUGAACUAUUUUCAUCGCUAAAUUUCUCGCGUCGAAAUCUUCACAACAAGAUCCCAUAUUAAUACCUUUCGACGAACUUUUUUCAUGAAUAAACCGGAAGAAAAAAUUAAGCCGGAAGCAUAUUUGUUUCCCACCUCCCACCCUGUUUCUGAG
RNAcentral lists this long non-coding RNA (220 nucleotides) under Hordeum vulgare. Its description in RNAcentral is "long non-coding RNA (HVUL_LNC018437)". The record is from RNAcentral. Lineage: Eukaryota; Viridiplantae; Streptophyta; Magnoliopsida; Poales; Poaceae.